CCUACGGGUGGCAGCAGUGGGGAAUAUUGGACAAUGGGGGCAACCCUGACCCAGCCAUGCCGCGUGUGUGAAGAAGGCCCUCGGGUUGUAAAGCACUUUCAGUGAGGAAGAACGCCUGGUGGUUAAUACCCAUCAGGAAAGACAUCACUCACAGAAGAAGCACCGGCUAACUCCGUGCCAGCAGCCGCGGUAAUACGGAGGGUGCGAGCGUUAAUCGGAAUUACUGGGCGUAAAGCGCGCGUAGGUGGCUUGAUAAGCCGGUUGUGAAAGCCCCGGGCUCAACCUGGGAACGGCAUCCGGAACUGUCAAGCUAGAGUGCAGGAGAGGAAGGUAGAAUUCCCGGUGUAGCGGUGAAAUGCGUAGAGAUCGGGAGGAAUACCAGUGGCGAAGGCGGCCUUCUGGACUGACACUGACACUGAGGUGCGAAAGCGUGGGUAGCAAACAGGAUUAGAUACCCUUGUAGUC
This 465-nucleotide ribosomal RNA is filed under the name Vreelandella stevensii. Its description in RNAcentral is "partial 16S ribosomal RNA". It matches the Rfam family "Bacterial small subunit ribosomal RNA", at positions 338 to 795 of the family's 1533-position model. Lineage: Bacteria; Pseudomonadati; Pseudomonadota; Gammaproteobacteria; Oceanospirillales; Halomonadaceae. The record is from RNAcentral.